UUGGAGGGCAAGUCUGGUGCCAGCAGCCGCGGUAAUUCCAGCUCCAAUAGCGUAUAUUAAAGUUGUUGCAGUUAAAAAGCUCGUAGUUGAAUUUCGGGAUUGACGUGACGGUCGUGCCUUACGGGGUAUGAACUGUCGCCGUUGAUUUCUCACCUUCUGGAGAAGCUCGAUGUCCUUAAUUGGGUGUCUUGCGGAACCAGGACCUUUACCUUGAAAAAAUUAGAGUGUUUAAAGCAGGCAUUAUUGCUCGAAUACAUUAGCAUGGAAUAAUAGAAUAGGACGGCAUGGUUCUACUUUGUUGGUUUCUAGGAUCACCGUAAUGAUUAAUAGGGAUAGUUGGGGGCAUUAGUAUUCAAUUGUCAGAGGUGAAAUUCUUGGAUUUAUUGAAGACUAACUACUGCGAAAGCAUUUGCCAAGGAUGUUUUCAUUAAUCAAGAACGAAAGUUAGGGGAUCGAAGACGAUCAGAUACCGUCGUAGUCUUAACCAUAAACUAUGCCGACUAGGAAUCAGACGAUGUUAAUUUUUUAAUGACUCGUUUGGCACCUUACGGGAAACCAAAGUGUUUGGGUUC
This 572-nucleotide ribosomal RNA is filed under the name uncultured Entrophospora. Its description in RNAcentral is "SSU rRNA". It matches the Rfam family "Eukaryotic small subunit ribosomal RNA", at positions 548 to 1114 of the family's 1831-position model. Lineage: Eukaryota; Fungi; Glomeromycota; Glomeromycetes; Entrophosporales; Entrophosporaceae. The record is from RNAcentral.